RNAcentral lists this long non-coding RNA (1039 nucleotides) under Olea europaea (common olive). Its description in RNAcentral is "long non-coding RNA (OEUR_LNC013716)". The record is from RNAcentral. Lineage: Eukaryota; Viridiplantae; Streptophyta; Magnoliopsida; Lamiales; Oleaceae.
AAAAAAUCGCAAACCCUAAUUUCUUGAACCUAGCUCUGAUACCAUGUUGAAUUUGGGAGAAUAACUUCUCUUCUUAUUCAUAGACGUGUAUUACUUAUAUACAAAGAGAGAGAGAGUUCCAUAUAAGGAAAUAAUCUAAAAUUAUGCACCUACCAUAUAUGCACGUAUUGUAUAAAUAUAAGUCUAAACUAAUGCAUAAUUCCAUAACAAUAUGCAAAUUACUAUUUGAGCUUAUAAGUGUAUUUUAUGCACUUAUUUGGGCUUCUAUUCUUGGUUUAUUGCUAAUUGAGUAAAUAUCUAGCUAAUUUAGGUUAAACUACGUUUAUUGUAGGUGAUGCCGUCUUGAAUUUAUUUUGAUGCAGUUUGCAUGUGAAAGGUAUUUUUGAGCUUAAAUUGGAGUUGAUUUAGAACAAUUGAUGUUGAACUGAAUUAUUUAUGAUCAAUUGGUAGAAUAUAGAGCAACCGGAAGAGAUUCACUAGUUGUAAGAGCAAAAUCCAACUUUUGAAAGUUUGGAAACUCAAUUGUAAACUUUAAGAACUUGCAUCAUAUUAAUUUUAGAUGAUCGUUUAAUGUGGAGGAUCAAACGGUGAGGAUAUGAAGAUGAGAGACCCAAGAUGCAACCAUUUAAGGGCUCGAGUUGAAUAAAAGAAAAAAUUCAGGCACCACCUUGGAAGAAAGGCUAAAGAGGCAAGCUUGCGAUCACGAAUUCCAAAAAACAAAAUGACUUGCCCUUGUGAUUGAAAUAGGUAAAACCAUGUAAUCACAUAUGUUUAAAUCGACUAGACGAUUUUGUUUCCUUAUUCAUUUUGACAACAUCUUAUAAGGCAAUUAGGGCACCAUUUCUGAUCUGAUUCUUUAGCUAUAAAUAUAUAUUUCCAUUUGCAACUCAAAAGAGAAUUUAGGAGGCUUGGUAUGUAUAAGAUACAUAUUUAAGAAGUCAAUAAGAGAAGUAAAUACUUAUUUUCUCAAAAUGUUGAUUGGGGGAGAGAUCUAUAGUAUCAAAGGGACCAAUCCCCAUAUUCCAAUCUCAUUAAAUGC